This 1856-nucleotide long non-coding RNA is filed under the name Eucalyptus grandis. RNAcentral's name for it is "long non-coding RNA (EGRA_LNC004252)". Lineage: Eukaryota; Viridiplantae; Streptophyta; Magnoliopsida; Myrtales; Myrtaceae. The record is from RNAcentral.
UCUCCCCCUUCUUUUUCUCUUCUCUCUCUCUCACGCGAACCCCUCCCCACGCCGACGUCCCCUUUCCCUUUUUCCUUUUCCCUUUCCUCUCUGCCGUGUCCAACUUUCCUCCCCCACACCUUUGACUUUUCAUUCUUAUCUUCGUCCCCUUGGCCGACUCACACCCCCCAUUCGGCGACUUUAUUUUCUUCUUUGCCGUCUACCCUUCGCCUGCGAUUUCUCCUCCGUGCUGUCUCCGUUUUUGUCCCACCGAAGCCCACGCCGCCGGCUCACCUUCCUCCUUCGUCUGCGAGAAGUCCCGUGUGUGAUUGAGCUUGGCAUCCCGUGCGAAAUCAGCCGCGCAAAGCAGCCAACAGCCAAGGAAAACCAGCAUCCCCGUGAGCUAUGCGGACCAAGUUUCAGGCCCGAUUUGUGCCCCGUUGGUGUCGCCACUUUGGAGUGGAUUGUCCCUCGUCACGUCCUCGUCGAAUUGAACCAAGCAGUUCGAUUAACAAGUGAGUUUAGCUCACUAAUCCUCUAUUAGUCGGUUACUGACGUUUAGGAGUUUAUUAGAUUUAAUUAAGUGCAAUUAGGUGGAUAGAUUAGAGUAGAGUAAUUAAUUUAGUGCCUUAUCGAUACAUGUUAGACAAAUGGUUAGUGUAAUUAGCAAGGAAAUAGAUUCUAGUAUUUAUUAAACGAAUCUCGAAAAUUUUUCGGGUCCGUUUCGGCGUCCAAUUAGGCAUUACAGGCCUAAAUUGGAUUUAUUUCAUUUAUUUAAUAUUUUUCGUAAUUAUUUAAUUAUUUAUUUAUUUUCCAGAAAUUAGGUUGGGAUAGCCAACGACUGGAAUUUUAUGUUGAUAAUUAUGGUGUAGUCUAUCUAUUUAAUUGAGCUUUAAUUCAUGCUGAAAUGAUUUAAUUGUGAUUUUAGGAUUUUAUUUAUAAAAUUAAUUAUUUUCAGAAAUUGAUUGGAAAUUAAUUGAGCAUCAGUUUACAACGCCAAAAAUAUUUUGGUGGAUUAUAUAAAAUGGUGAGAUUUAUGGAAAGGAAAUUAUCGUAUUUUGGCCAAGGCCAACCAUGUACCCACACACGAUAUUUUUAUCGGGUAUGAUAAAAAUGGAGAAAUGGUCAGAUGAUUAGACUAAUAAUUGUGGCAGCUUCUUGUGAGCUAUAGUAUACUAUAUGAAUAUAAUUGCGACAGCUUCUAGUAAGCAUAAAUAGUAUAUUAUAUGAGUAUAAUUACGGCAGCUUAUGGCGAGCAUACAUACAUACAUAUAUAUAUAUAUAUAUAUUAUCUCAGUAUUUUAGACAACUUCUGGAGAGUUAUACUAUUUAUUAUUGACUUAUAAUAAGCAGUCCUAGGUAUGAUCGGACUUAUAGAUAGUAUUGAUUGAGAUGACUAGGGAAUUGUCAUAUUGACAUAGAAUCGACUGAGUCGAUUGAUCGAUAAUUCGAUCUGAUUGAAUGAUUUGAUGUGGUGAAUUGAUUUGAUGAAACUAUGAAUUGUAUUGACAUGCAGGAAGGAACUGAGGCCAAGGUAAGCCUCUGACUCGUGGUUGUGCUUAGGCAAUCCUUAGGGCAUAUUUGCUUCCUAAUCGAGUCUUAGAGGGUUGAACGUGCUGAGACAUUAUCUCACUGGUUAUUAUAUAACAAUUUUCAAGUCCCUAAUUGACAUUGGUGGAGGACCCGAGGCCCAAAGUUUAGAAGGUGAAGCCCGGAGAAUCGGCGAGCAUGUCCGACUAGUUAGUCCUAGGACAUUUCUCUUUUGUUGAAAGCCAAUUCUUUUUUGUAGGCUUAUGUGUAUAUACCUAUGUGUUUAUAAAAAGGUCUUUUGUGAAAAAUUGGUCAUACUUUCAUAUCCCAUUGUUUUAUUGUUUGAG